RNAcentral lists this ribosomal RNA (301 nucleotides) under uncultured bacterium. RNAcentral describes it as "partial 16S ribosomal RNA". It matches the Rfam family "Bacterial small subunit ribosomal RNA", at positions 509 to 807 of the family's 1533-position model. The record is from RNAcentral.
CAGCCGCCGCGGGAAUACGAAGGGUGCAAGCGUUACUCGGAAUUACUGGGCGUAAAGCGUGCGUAGGUGGUGGUUUAAGUCCGUUGUGAAAGCCCUGGGCUCAACCUGGGAAUUGCAGUGGAUACUGGGUCACUAGAGUGUAGUAGAGGAUAGUGGAAUUUCCGGUGUAGCAGUGAAAUGCGUAGAGAUCGGAAGGAACAUCUGUGGCGAAGGCGACUAUCUGGGCCAACACUGACACUGAGGCACGAAAGCGUGGGGAGCAAACAGGAUUAGAUACCCGGGUAGUCCCUGUCUCUUAUAC